UUUAUGUAAAUCACCUUGAGCUGCAAUUCUUGUAUGAAAUGUGCUAUAUGAAUAAAGUCUAUUUAUUAUUUGGACUAAGUUAUUAUUCUAACCCAACAUCAAGAGCUGCCGAUUGAAGCCAUGCGGAAAUAUCGUUGAACUGGACUCUAUUUGUUCUUGCGCGUAUGAAGUGAGUGUGGUUGUGUGAGGGGCUGAGCCCAUACGGAGGGUUAGUCAGAGGGAUCCCCGUACGGAGGGUUAGUCAGAGGGAUCCCCGUGCCUUGGGGGUGUCCUGGGCUCCGUUACACUGGUGAUAAUGACAAUGAAGAAAACAAGAAUGUCCUCCUCUCCAGGAUGCUGCGGCCCCAGUUCUCCCCCUCGGGCACCUCAUCUGACAGGUAGAACAAGUCCAGGUGAACAAGUCCAGGUGUACAAGUCCAGGUGUACAAGUCCAGGUGUACAAGUCCAGGUGAACAAGUCCAGGUGAACAAGUCCAGGUGUACAAGUCCAGGUGAACAAGUCCAGGUGUACAAGUCCAGGUGUACAAGUCCAGGUGAACAAGUCCAGGUGAACAAGUCCAGGUGUACAAGUCCAGGUGUACAAGUCCAGGUGUACAUGUCCAGGUGAACAAGUCCAGGUGUACAAGUCCAGGUGUACAUGUCCAGGUGUACAUGUCCAGGUGAACAAGUCCAGGUGUACAAGUCCAGGUGAACAAGUCCAGGUGAACAAGUCCAGGUGUACAAGUCCAGGUGUACAAGUCCAGGUGUACAAGUCCAGGUGAAGGCAGAAGUGAGGAAACGUGUAAGGGAAAAGCCAAAAGAUGUUGACAAAAAAAGCACACGACCCAAACUCGCUGGGUUUGAGUCGUCUAAAUGAAUCUAAUCAUUACGGGUUUAGAUAAACACAAAGGAUUAGCGAACCUGUUAAACUAAACAAAGAGAACAGCUUGGGCAAACAGGAGCAGGAAAGACUGGCUGCUAGAAAUCUUUCAACCCUGCGAUA
Hypomesus transpacificus is the source of this 981-nucleotide long non-coding RNA. RefSeq lists it as uncharacterized. The record is from RefSeq and is a predicted model, not a curated record. NCBI's taxonomy places the organism in Eukaryota, Metazoa, Chordata, Actinopteri, Osmeriformes, Osmeridae. The transcript has 2 exons.